Molecule: long non-coding RNA, 893 nt
Organism: Monomorium pharaonis (pharaoh ant)
Lineage: Eukaryota; Metazoa; Arthropoda; Insecta; Hymenoptera; Formicidae
Exons: 2
Source: RefSeq, a predicted model, not a curated record
GUAAGCGAACCCGCCGAACCGAACUAAAAUGCAAUAUGGCCGUCUAAAAUCAACAUGGCCGUAGUAAUGAGUUCCGUUCAACGAGUAAAGUGGAGCAAAGUGAAGUGAAGCAAAGCUUACGAGCAAGCGAGCGUCAACCGAGCAUCAUUCUCGUUAUCUGGACACCAGUAGCUGUUCCAGCUUUCGACUCUACACCAGCCUUCGACACCAGAAGAGUUAUAGAAUAAAGAUGCUGUGGCUGCAUUUGGAAACAUCACCUGAGUGCUCUCGGAUAUCAUUCUAUGAUAGAAUGAUGCCCAAGAGCACUCGGGUGACGUUUCUGAACGCAGCCUGUCGGAAGAGUUAAAUGAGGGAGCUACAAUUACAACCAAGAAAAAGAAAUCUAUGAUCACAUUACUUAGCCUGUUGCAAGUUGCAAAGAAGCAGCUGAUUCCACGUGGAUGUAAGAAAGAGCCUACAAUUAGUUGAAAUACGAGAUAUAACGCAUUUGAAUAAGAUAUAUUGAAUAUAUUACUGUUGUGACAAUGAUUUAAGUUAUUUGGCAACUUAUUUAUAAUAAGUAUUAUGUACGAAUUCUAUGAGAAAAAUCUAUAAAUCAUACAUUGUUGCUAUAAAUUCUGAAGCAUUUUAAUUGGAUAUGUUUAAUUUUAGUUAAGUAAAACUGAAUAAAAAGUAAUACAUUAACGCGCACGUAUACGUUGAAUUGUAUACAAAUAUUUUUACAGCGAAUAUUUUUAUAUGCAUUGAAUGGACACGCGACUUAAGUUUUUACGCUAGUGAAUACUUUUCUCCAAAUAUUUUUCUAUGUAAUGUUUUAUAUGCAAAUUAUAACAUUUUAUGUUUGUACUAAAUAUGUAAUAAAACAUGUGAAAUAAAUAAGUUCAAAAAUUUUA